CACUGGGUGGCAGGUCAGAAUUUCCUAGCUCCCAAGAGCCCAGGGGUCCAGCACUCAGGACCUGCAGUUCCUGACACCAUGCCCUCUCUAAGGGGUUCCCACAGGGCAAUGUGAGACCAGGCUUUUUGAGGAACAUGGCAUCAAAUCCCGCUCCAUGCCCCAGAUCUCAGAGGCAUUUAUAACAAUAUCAGCCUGGGCUGCAGCUUCUCUGAAAAUGAACUCACGGAGGAGUGAGCAUCAUUCCUCAGACCCAGCCUGAGUAAGCGUGGGAGCUGGCAGCAUCACAAUGCCAAACAAGGAUGUCAGUGGACCAAAGCUGUAAUAUUUUUAUGGGCUAAAUAUCUGAUACCAGCCCCGAAAGCAUCUGGAGAAAGGAGUCAGGAGGGAGGUGGUGAGAGCGAAAGAGAAGGCGAGCGGGAGACGGAGAGAACAGACACAAGUUGAGAUAAACCAAGCAAGGUGCGUCCGUGUGGCCUUGGCCUACCGUGGGACCCUCUCCCUCCCAUGUCCAUGCCCAUUCCCAGAACCAGAGCAAGGCUGCUGCUCAGCAGGGUUUGAACAACAAGCUGUCUGACCAGAUCGGCCUCCAGGGAGGACAGAGC
Molecule: long non-coding RNA, 602 nt
Organism: Mauremys mutica (yellowpond turtle)
Lineage: Eukaryota; Metazoa; Chordata; Testudines; Geoemydidae
Exons: 3
Source: RefSeq, a predicted model, not a curated record